Molecule: ribosomal RNA, 120 nt
Filed under: uncultured bacterium
Lineage: Bacteria
Description: partial 16S ribosomal RNA
Rfam family: Bacterial small subunit ribosomal RNA
Source: RNAcentral
GAUGAACGCUGGCGGCGUGCCUAAUACAUGCAAGUCGAACGGGAGACCUGGUUUCGACCGGGUUGAGAGUGGCGCACGGGUGAGGAACACAUGGCUGACCUGCCCUUCAGAGGGGGAUAA